This 645-nucleotide long non-coding RNA is filed under the name Anas platyrhynchos platyrhynchos (common mallard). RNAcentral's name for it is "lncRNA (ENSAPLG00000019258.1)". The record is from RNAcentral. Lineage: Eukaryota; Metazoa; Chordata; Aves; Anseriformes; Anatidae.
UGCACAGAAUCACUUGAAUACUAGGAAUUGUGAUGACAUUGAAGUGGAAUCGCAGGCACAAUGGACAUGGUGAAAAGCACACAAGGCAAACCCUGCCCAGCUGAUUGUGCUUAGCCUAACAUGCAAAAGAGGCACUUCCCAAGCUUGCCAGUACCCCAGGAGGUAUUAAGGCUUUCUCUGAAACCUAGUCAUAUUGAGGGCAGCCCGGCUCAACUUGGAAAGCUCUGAGGAGUUCUGUGAAAGAUUUUGCCAGUGUUUACAAAGGUUAGGAUCCCUUGCAUCCUCACCAGUCUUUACAUUUGCCCAAGAAUCAGAUUCAGUUUAGCCCAGCAUUCUUCACAAAGAUAAAAGGGUGACAGACCUGACACAUUUGUGCUUUUCAAAACCAGAGAAGCUGAUUCCACAUGAAAACCCUAUCCUGAAACAGCAUCCAAACUGAAACUGUACCAGUGUUGGUAAAAAAAAAUAGGAGCCAGAUAUUGAAACUACAUAUAGUGAUGUACUUCAGCAAUCUCUCUUAUACUAUAACAAGAAAUGCUGCCGUAGACUUAUUUUACAGUUUUUAACUUCUGAAAGUUUGCUUUCAGAAAAAUCUCAUUUCUUUGUGAUCAAAAGUCCUCAUUUAUGUCUUAGGUGACAACUGGU